CGCCUCGCACCCAGCUCCUCCCCAAUCCCCUCCCGUUCUUCUCAUGGCGCAUCUGGCGGCGCCGCUCCACCUCCCUGGCUGCCCACCCUUCUCCUUCUCCCACUCCCCAUCUCCAACCCCCAGCCCCCGCGCUGCUCUGCCUCCCUCGACGGCCACCGGCCAGCAGGAGUAGCGCACGCCGGCGCAAGCAGGAGGGGCUGCUGGAGCUCCGCCCUUGAUGGUGAUGGCGGACUCGAGCUCACGCCGGUGACCUCCACAGGAGCAGCGCGAGCGACCUCCACAGCGGCAGCGUGAGCGACCUUCCUGGCCGCGUUUCUGGAGGCAGAGGACGGCGCAGCUCCACCACCUCGCCCGCAGGCUGCUGCCGCGCGACAUAAGUAGAUGGCAGCCCAAGGCCGAUCGUGCCUCUUCCGUCCAAAUCAGGGAAGAAGAGGACUCACAUAGGGAGAUGGAUUUGGGGAAGAAAAAGAGGAGGACGCCAACCAUCUGGUGCGGAUCUCUUCCAGUGUCUAGCCCUCCUCUGCCUCUACUUUUCAGCUACUUCCUCUCCUCUCUCUCUCUCUCAGUUUGGAGACAGAUAAAGGGUCAAGGACUAAGUAUUGAGAAAAGCCACAAGAAGGGGAUUUGUAGGAUGAACGUGACCACUAGCAUAUGAUGAUGAUUCUGGUGCACACUACAUGUUUGAUGAAAUGCAGUAUAUGCAAGGGGAGUUGUCCAACAAUGUUGACUGUUCCCUACAUAAAUUAGGAAACAUACCAAGUACCACAGUGCGUGUAGUCCUAGGCCUCUACGAAGGCGCUCCUCAGGCUGCUCGAGUGCAUUCUGCAGUGGUGAGGUUGACAUCCUGGUCUGGGGCGACUACCACGACAGCGUGCCACGUCCCUGCAGGCACGUUGGGCAGCAACAUUUUCCACAGGUGAUGGAGAUGGUGGCUUGGGGUCCAUGUUCACGGGCUUGGUUGACGAGAACACCGUCAUGCCCGACACUGGUCACAACCAUGGCCAUCAAGAAGCUCAAAUAGGACCGCUUACACGAUGCUGAUGAUGAGACCACUGUCGUGCUGGCCAGCCCUGACACCGGGAUGGUAAUCUUCAUGAAGCAGCUCAAAUAGGAAGGCCUCCAUAGUGCAGGUGUUGACUUCUCGGUGUAGCUGUUGCCAUGCGGCUACAUCUGCACUACACUUGAUAGCAAAAAGGAAACAUAUACCAUGCAUCUGUGUUGUUUUGGAAAUCAUGACAUAAAGGGUUACACUGUACUUUGGCUAGCUUCUUAAUUACUCUUGAUUUACAUAUGGAUGAACUAAUAGGUGAUUCAUGGAUUUGUAUUUCCAGUUAUAUGCUUUCAAAGAAGGAAAGCCUAACUGAGCAUGGAGAAAGAUUUUGAAUAAUCUAUCUGCCAUAUCAUGAAUGUGUUAAAUGUGAAAUAUAUUUAUUUUAUAGGUCUAAAUUCAAUAGAGCAUUUUAUAUAAUUCUACAACUCUUAAUUUUUUGUGGCAAGGUACCAACAAAGCAACAUCUUGGUUCCAGUGUACAUGCAGCAACUUAAUUCCAAUGUUUAUUAUAGGCUGGCUUGGUGAGAUGGGCAUGCCCUUUGUCUGGUCGCCCUGCUCCGCCUCAAGUGGCCUCCCACACUGUGUUCAGCCCUGGUUCGUCAUGGUCAUGUAAGACAUGGAUUUCUGCUGCUUGGUUCAUGGCCUCUUUGUAACAAGAAAUGAGUGGUAUGGCCAAUCUUUGUAUCACAACUCUUGAUUGAAGCCACCAAAAUAAUGAUGUUUUCUGCUAUAUUCGUAUGGUACAUAUAAAUAGUUUAUCUAUUUUUUUAUCUUCAAAGCCAGUAAAUGUCAACUGUGUCCGGUCUACUGACUGAUUGUUUUAUAUAACUAUGCUUCAGUCAAUGCAAAAUAAAAUUCUUACUUGAUAGUUGGCCUCUGAAUAAUCUGAAUGUUAUAUAGUGGCGAACUCCAAAAAUUUGGGUUGCCUCUGUAUUAAUCAGUGUCAUUUCACCAAGUAUGCUUUUUCACCUGUAUUGGUAUUUUUCCUAGGUGUUUGAGUUGCAGUAAGUUGGUUUUCCUCAUUCUUGAAUUUAUUUUCCGCCAUUCAUACCUCUUGGUGCCUAUAUUUUUCCAGGUUACUAUAGGAAAAAGGCCUGGGGUAUCCUUUUUGUAGCUACAGUGAUCACCAUCAUAUGGGUUACCUCAUUAUGCCUUUCUUUGUUUAUGUGAAUCUCUUUGUAUUUGAAUUGGUUACUCUCCAAUUAGGCAAAUCAUGAUACUAAAACUUGCCGGAUGCAUGGUAUAUAGCCUUGCACAUAUAUUUACUUCCUGGAUUUCUCUUUGCUGCAAUUGGGUGUUUCAACUGGGUUUGCUUUGAGUGUCAAGUGUUAAUGACCUUGCUGAUACUUUAUCCAAUGAGGAGGUUGAAUCUACAAUCAGUUUUGCUUUCCCUGCUACUCUCUGUUUGUGAAUAAAAUGCCUUUGCUUCCUCUACUUUGCAUGUACAUCUUAUAAACUUGGCACCGUAUAAUCGAGUUAAGUAUGAACCCUGUUUUGGAGGUUGCAUUCAUACAAAUUUAACACACGGUGCAAUGAGACAUUUAACAAUCAGUAACAUAUGAGGCAAAACCUGAUGUCUAUUCAUGUUUCAAUUCGAAAUACAAGUGUUCUUCUUUUAAAAGUUGAUUUGGCCAUUAAAAGGAAACUGCGGUUCAACUUUAUCAAUAAAUCAAAAAUAUUUCUAUUUUUUGAGGGAUGCGAUGGUUUUUACUCUUAGGAUAAAAAUACAUAACACAUGUUCUACAUCUAUGUUCUGUUCUGCAGAUAUCGUGGAGAGAAGGGGCAUGUUUACAACUUGGCAGUCCAAAUGACCUUGAUUGGAAACUACUUUCAGUUUUCUUAGAAGUCUGCUUUCCCUGCUAUCCUCUCUCUCAGUUUUCUUAGCUAUCUUCUCUCUCAGUUUUCUUAGAAGUCUGAUUCCCUGCUAUCCUCUCUCUCUGAAUAAAUUUCCUUUGCUUGAUCAGCUCACAUCUUUAUUUUAUAAGUUUUUCCUGUUUCUAAUCAAUGUACAUAUAUAGAUACUAUGUUUGUCUUUUAUGCGACGACAAAAUUAAUUGUUGACUGCAUCUAUGUCAGUGGUCUUCUGUCAGUACGGAGUCAACAGGUUGAGGCAGCAUAGCGGUGUCUGACACUUCUUUACAUAGGCUGGUCACAUCGUUUCCAAAGUUUUCGAGUAACACACAUUUUCCCAAAUUAAACCAUCGAAUGCAUGUGAGAGUAGAAUGCAUAGGUCUAUGAAAAUUUGAUUUGCUCAAAAUAAUUAUAGGUUACUAAGCUGCUACUAUUAGAAUUUGAGUUGAGGCAUAGAAAGAACUGAACUUUGUUUAUAGGGCUUUCUAUCAUCAUUUGACGGUUUGAGACCUUUCAUAUAUGCACAAAAAUUAAUAUCUUAGAUUUAAUUUGUAGUUGAAAAAAACGUGGCAAAGGUGUCAUUCAUAGAUUAGUUAAAGAAAAGUAAAUAUUGAAAUCAUUAACCUUUUUCUAUGCCUAACCUUACUUUGUUUCCACGCCUAGGUUGUAUACAUAACAUAUGAUGGUUAUGCGUAUUUAGGGCUUAACAGGUUUUGUUCAUAAAGCCUUAGUGCAUAUAUUUGUUGGUUUGACUGUUUUGUCUUAUGCUUUGUGUUUUCUCAUCUCACCAUGCAUGUAUUGAUGGACCUGUACUUUUUUCUAUUUUGGAAAGACACUCGUGAGGAUGACGUCUGCCCAGAUGAGGAGGAAUGAAGAAACCUCGAGCCUGACGGGUUCCCCACAAUGCUCUUCUACCCAGCUCGGAAGAAAAUCUUUGAGCGUGUUUGUUCUUAAAUAUAGUAUUUCACAUCCUAUUUAGGGGUGCGUCUGAUAAUAUGUUUUUUCUUUCAGUUGGUAGAAAUAACAUCGCCCGCACAUGGCUUCUCAGCAGUGCUACCAUCUAAAUUUGCAUCUACCGAAUUGUCUCUGGACUCCUGAAACUAGCAUAAAACAUGCAUGCUCAAGUUCAGUGCAUAUUUCAAAGCUGCCAAUCAAUAACUUUUGACGGGGACCGACUGGUGGUGGAGAUAUCAAGUUCAUCAAGAGGCAUGCCGAUAUCCUUCUGAGGUUGAAGUGUAAUGUUGCAAGAAAUACCAGCUGACAUGAUCAAGGCCCUCUCUUACUAUGUGAUGGCUCCAGAAUACUCCUGCUGUCAUACCUUCGUGUUUUCUUUCUAAUAUCGUUUACUCAUGCUGCUCAUGUGAUACUAAUAUUAUUGCCCCUGGUCUCUCAUUGUUGUAUUUCUUUUAAGAAAAGCUUUUGGUAGACAAGAUGCUGAUAUACCUGAGAUACAUAUUGCAUCCAUUUCCACAUUAGUAGUCAGACUUCAGUAAAAUGUCCAUUAUCUACUUUCUUCCAAUUUAAGCUAUAAUAUUUAAGAAUGACUUUACAAUUUUUUUUUAGAUUACAAACCAUUGAUGCUGGGGAACAAAGCGUGCAUAAUAAAUAAAUUCACGCGGUGGAAGGAAAACACAAGAUAUGUUGUCAGGGAUAUGCCAUGGAGAGACUCCUGAGGUGGCCACCGCAUCCUAGCAGCAACAGCCUAGGAUGGAGAUCCAUUUAGGUGGCCCUCACCACUAUCGGCCUGCGAUGAAGAUCUGUGUAGACCACCUGUUCAAGCCACGACAGCCUGUCAUGGAGCCACCCGUAGGUGGGCACGACAUCCCUACGAACGCUACUGGCAUAUGUUGGUGAAUACAAAAUGUAGAAGCAACUGAAUGGAAUACUGUUGGUGACUCUAAAUUUGUGAAAGGAAAUGAUUAGUUUUAGCAUUUGUUUUGGUCAACGCCAUUGCUGCCGCUGAUGUUGUGUUUGUAAUCAGAGGUGUUCUGUUCCUGAUCUUACUACAGUUUGGGUUAGGCUUAUGAUAUACGACUGACAAUUUUUACACAUGGUACAUGCUACUUCGGCCCCA
Molecule: long non-coding RNA, 4976 nt
Organism: Lolium perenne
Lineage: Eukaryota; Viridiplantae; Streptophyta; Magnoliopsida; Poales; Poaceae
Source: RefSeq, a predicted model, not a curated record